RNAcentral lists this non-coding RNA (29 nucleotides) under Mus musculus (house mouse). Lineage: Eukaryota; Metazoa; Chordata; Mammalia; Rodentia; Muridae. The record is from RNAcentral.
UAACAGAUUAUCUGGGUGUCCUCAAAACC